This 292-nucleotide ribosomal RNA is filed under the name uncultured bacterium. RNAcentral describes it as "partial 16S ribosomal RNA". It matches the Rfam family "Bacterial small subunit ribosomal RNA", at positions 505 to 796 of the family's 1533-position model. The record is from RNAcentral.
GUGCCAGCAGCCGCGGUAAUACGUAGGUUGCGAGCGUUAUUCGGAUUUACUGGGCGUAAAGAGCACCGAGGUGGCUUCUUAAGUUGGAUGUGAAAUCUCCUGGCUUAACCGGGAGGCGCCAUUCAAAACUGGGGAGCUUGAGGUCAGCAGGGGAAGGUGGAAUUCCCGGUGUAGUGGUGGAAUGCGUAGAGAUCGGGAGGAACACCAGUGGCGAAAGCGACCUUCUGGGCUGCACCUGACACUCUAGUGCGAAAGCGUGGGGAGCAAACAGGAUUAGAUACCCUGGUAGUCC